Molecule: ribosomal RNA, 597 nt
Filed under: Triticum aestivum (bread wheat)
Lineage: Eukaryota; Viridiplantae; Streptophyta; Magnoliopsida; Poales; Poaceae
Description: partial small subunit ribosomal RNA
Source: RNAcentral
CACGCACCCGAACUGCUUGGCCUGGUAGUAGGGCAGGUUGGAGAGGCAGGUGUCGUCGAUGUCGAGGACCCAGGCGUCGAGGCCGUCGCCGGCGGCGGGGGCCUGGCUGGCGUAGGCGGCGAUCUGGUCCGCGGCGCUGCCCACGUCCCGGCCGUACUGGCCCCAGGACAUGUAGGCCCAGACGUACCCGACGCAGGGCGCCGGCACCGCGCGCCAGAACUUGGCGUUGUUCGCCUCCACCAUCACCCGCCAGCUCAGGCAGCCGCCGGGGUCGUCCCCGCCCGGCGGCCAGAACCACGGCGCCCCGUCGGCCACCUGGACAGCGGCGAGGAGACCGACGAGCAGGACCGUCACCCACCGCCGCCGCAGACCGAGAGCGGCCAUUGUUGGAGCCACGGCUACUCUCUAGCGCCAAGGAAAGCAGCGGCAAGCUGGUCGAUCGACCACACCAUUUCGUCAAUGAGCGUGCGUGCAUGGAUUUUUAUGGGCGCACGCACGCACGCAAACGCACUGGGAUUAUUCCCGUGCGUGCGUGCAAUGCCACCUUUUGCUUUUGGUGGACAAUGCCCGGUGGGAAAGCCAGCCGCGGUGGGCUAA